Molecule: long non-coding RNA, 2987 nt
Filed under: Canis lupus familiaris (dog)
Lineage: Eukaryota; Metazoa; Chordata; Mammalia; Carnivora; Canidae
Description: lncRNA (ENSCAFG00845025651.1)
Source: RNAcentral
UUUUUGUUUUUGUUUUUUGUUUUGUUUUGUUUUUUGUUUUGCUUCUGAGGUUUUCACCAGCUUAGAAACUGAUACAAUGACCCAGAUGGCACUAUACACCUGGUGUUUCUUGUAGCAUACCUGUAAUGGAGAGGUAAACACACCCAUUUCUUCAAGGAAAUGGGAGCCUAGCAUUAGCUGAGGCAUUUUACACAAAGGAGGAGAACAUAUCUGCAGAGAUUGAGGUGUCCAUUGACUUGCUUGCUCAAGAACCCAGAAGAAUCAACUGCAGACUCCAUGUGCAAAAGAGACAGAGCUAUAAGAGGGUGGGGAGUCUUAUGAUAGCACUCUGGCAAGGCAAAUAUCGAUAGUUUCAAAGCUAUUAGCACAGUAAAAACUUUCAGGAUACAGAUGGAACAAUAUGGCCCUUAGUUGUACUCAGAACCCUCUCUUUUCUUGGGCCAUUCUUAUGGGGGUGCUGUGAUAAGAAACACGAUUCAAAAUUUCACAAAAAAUAGUGUCCUAUUUUGAUUUUGAAUACCAGGAAUUUUAUAUCUCUGUGCCUCACCUUCUCCUUCUCCACCUUUGCAUCCCCUACCCCCUCCAUCCCCUGUGUACCCCAGGCACUGAAGGAGACCUUGAGUAUUCAAAAGGUGACUCUCCUCCAACAAGAUGCUAUCCAGCUGUAUCAGUGGGUCUGGGCCUGUGCAUCAUCUGCACGCACACCAUCAUGAUUGCCUGCUGGGUUUGCUUCUUGAUUGUCUAUCAAAUCCAGUUUCAGUGUUCACCCCUAUUGAGAUUUAUGUCUCUUCCUGUUUGCUCAAUAUCUGACCUCUCCUGACUCUUUUAUGCCAACACUGGGAGUAAAAUGGAAUAAAGCAGUAAAACAAAACAAAUCAAAUCAUGAACACAAACAUGAAAGCAUUCCCUGAGCUUCCACAGUCAGGGAGUUGGUUAAUAUGAGAAUGCAGCCUCAUGCCCAGAAGAGGAAUCAGUUCUUUGUUAGGACAUCACUUGGGAAAUGAUUUUCCUUUACGGAAGAGUAGCAGAUGUCUACACCCUCACUGUGUCCACAAUGUUGAAGCAGUAGAGCACCCAGCUCAGAGUGAGCCUUCCUUGCCAUUGGUGACAUAGAAUAGUGGUAUAUCUUUUUGUAGAGAAGAGUGGAGGCUGCAAAACCCCACAGAAAGUGGAUGAUAAAUGUUUGAACUUGAAACAAGCACUAAAGCUGAGAACUAUUGGAAAAUAAUCUCAAAGCUCUAAUGAGGACAACUUCCUUAAAAAGCAGAAUUUGGGGGAGAAAAAUAAUAUGGAAAGAAGCAAAGAUUUUUGGUCUUGUGUAGAAGAACUGUCAUCCAUAAGGGUACAGAAAACAACUGUUUUUUUCUGAGCUCUAAUGGAAAAAUGUUCUCACGAUUUAUUUAGACAAGGGGGUAUAUAGAGGAAAUUGAUACCAGAUUUCACUGUGCAUUGUGUAUUGAUACUGAAUACUUGGCAGCGCUCCCAUGCUGUCUCCAAUCUCAACUCAGACUCCCUUUCUUUUACCCUGACAGGUAUAGUAACGGUGUCAGAUGAUGCAGCUGAAGACAGGGCAUGUACAUGUACAAGUUUCUAAGAAGGAAAAACAAGAUCUAUACUGCUAUAAAAAGCUUGUCUGUGCCUGCAACAAAAUUGCUAAGGGUUAAGAACCAAGGAUCAUUUCUGAUUUCUCCCAACAAGGCUGCUGGCAGCUGUAGCUCAAUGACAAACCUUAACUAUAAUUGUGUUCAUCUCCACUUGAUGAAUGAAGAGCCAUUUUGAGUCUAACCCAUCCAACUUUCAAGGUUGAUGCUUCUUUAUGAGCCAUGGCUGGAUCAUAUCACCUUUGAUUCAAAACUCUUCAGAAGCCCCUGUUAACUCUACCUGGCUGUCAAGGUCAUGCUAACCAGGCCCACUAUAAACCUCAAAGUCCUCCUCCUGUCCUCUUCCUCUGUCUAGCUACCUCCCACUUCAACUAACCUGAAUGAGAAUAUCCAUGGGUUCCUGUGCUUAUUUAUUAUUAUUAUUUUUUUUUUUUUUUUUGCUUUCAGGUAUUUCUCUAGCCGGGGUUAUGACUCACCCUCCUCUUGCCUGCAUUUUCAAAUUCCAUCUAACCAGCAUGGCCCAGGUCAAAAGCCUCAUAAAACUAUAGGCAGAAAAUAUCUGCUGCUUCUCUAAAAUUUUUAUGUGUGUUUUUCAUUUGAGGCCUAUGACUAAUUUCCUAUAUCUUUAGUCAUUUGUACACUGGUAUAAUUUAUUCUGAAAACUCAUAAACUUCAUAAAGGCAGGGGUUCUAAAGACUGGCACAAAGUGUGGAAACUAGCAAGUACACAAUAAAAGGUCGUGGAAUAAAAAAAUGCAUAAAUCACUCUUGUUCUCUUUUACAUUCAUAGAGAGGUAUGCAGAAUCAUUAGAGAUAACUUCAUCUAUAUAUCUAUAUAACUGAUACUAUAAUUUUAGAUAUAAAUUCUUUCAACAUUAAGGAUUAAAAAAGAAAAGCCCAGAAAUAUCGUCAAUAUGGCAUCGCCUUCAAGGCUCACACACUCAUGGAGGAAAGCAUGCUCACUAGAGCAGUUACCCAAAGAUGACAUAGUUGGAAGUAGGGUUGUGAUACUACAUGUUGAUAUAUUAUGUAGUUUCUAUAGUGAUAAAUGAACUAUAUUUGUAUUCUUUCCUUAGGAGUCUCUAACAUAAUGUUUUAAAAUAUAUGUUCCUCAUAAUGUUAGUAUUUUGAUACAUCUGUGAAGAAAUGUUAUUGAGCUCAACUAGGUUUGAGAAACUGCAAAUUAUGUCACCCACUUGGAAACUCAUAAUCUAUAGUGAUAUAUUAAAAAGUUUGCAGAAAUUGGAAUCUUUAAAAAGAAUGCUUAAUCUUCAUUAACCUAUUUCCCAACCAUUAUUAUCCUUGGAAUAGUCUUUUUCAGAUAACAGCUCUCUGUAUCUCUCUCUUUUUUAAAAAAGAUUUUAUUUAUUUAUUCAUGAGAGAUACA